Molecule: long non-coding RNA, 490 nt
Organism: Ruditapes philippinarum (Manila clam)
Lineage: Eukaryota; Metazoa; Mollusca; Bivalvia; Venerida; Veneridae
Exons: 2
Source: RefSeq, a predicted model, not a curated record
AGAAAUAUUGCUUUCGGAUCACUGAGCGUCACAGGACGAAUAGGUGCCAUAUUGGGACCUCAGUUAGUUUAUUUGAAUACUUACACACCAGGCUUGUUGUAUUAUUUUUGCGCAGGAAUAUCUGUCGCUUGUAUGAUCGGACUACUUUUCUUGCCGGAGACUAUGAACCAAAAUUUAAGUGAUAAGAUCAACGAAGAAAAUAAAAUAGAGAACGGCGGUGACAAUGUAAAAGAAAAGUCCACUGAAUGGCUCGACAAUGUGAAUGGAUAUAUAACACAAAGCGACAAGAAAGUGUUUACAGUUACUAAGGCUGAUACAUCAGAGAAAAUUCGCUCUACUGAAAACAUUAUAUUUUCGACACAGAUGUAAACUAUACAUUAAAGAUUUACAUGUAUACUAAGAAUAUAUAUUUUCAAAUAUGUAUUAAUUUUGAAGAUUCCGUUUAUAAUAUAACGUAGUGUUGAUAAAUAGUAAACAAAUAUUAAUACUU